GACGAACGCUGGCGGCGUGCUUAACACAUGCAAGUCGAACGCAAAGGCCCUGCUUUUGUGGGGUGCUCGAGUUGCGAACGGGUGAGUAACACGUGAGUAACCUGCCCUUGACUUUGGGAUAACUUCAGGAAACUGGAGCUAAUACCGCAUAGCAGCUCCUGCUGCAUGAUAGGGGUUGGAAAGUUUCGGCGGUUGGGGUUGGACUCGCGGCUUCUCUGUUUGUUGGUGUGGUAGUGGCUUACCAUGGCUUUGACGGGUAGCCGUCCUGAGAGGGUGACCGGCCACAUUGGGACUGAGGUACGGCCCAGACUGCAACGGGAGGCAGCAGUGGAAAAUAUUGCACAAUGGGCGGAAGGCUGAUGCAGGAACGCCGCGUGCGGGAUGACGGCCGUCGGGGUGUAAACAGCUUUCGACUGUGACGAAGAGUGAGUGACGGUAAUGGAUAAGGAAGCAACGGCUAACUACGUG
Molecule: ribosomal RNA, 468 nt
Filed under: uncultured bacterium
Lineage: Bacteria
Description: partial 16S ribosomal RNA
Rfam family: Bacterial small subunit ribosomal RNA
Source: RNAcentral